GAUGAACGCUGGCGGUGUGCCUAACACAUGCAAGUCGAGCGGCCGGACGAUAAGCUUGUUCCCCUGCGGUUAGCGGCUGACGGGCGAGUAACACGUGCAUCACCUACCUCUAUUUCGGGGAGAAUUUCGGGAAGCAGGAUCUAAUACCGGCGGAUAUGUUCAACCGCAGGGAGCAAAAGUUCAUCACGGUCUUGCCGACACUAAUAGCUGGUUUCGGGCUGCAUAAGCUAGUUGGUAAGGUAACGGCCUACCAAGGCGACGAUGCGUAGCCGACCUGAGAGGGUGGUCGGCGACACUGGAACUGAGACACGGUCCAGACUCCUACGGGAGGCAGCAGUGGGGAAUGUUAGGCAAUGGGCGCAAGCCUGACACAGCAAUACCGCGUGGGUGAAGAAGGUCUUCGGUUCGUAAAGCCCUGUUGUUGGGGAAGAACAGCUGUGGAAUUAAACGUCGCCAUUGUGACGGUACCGAAUCAGGAAGCACCGGCUAACUACGUG
This 497-nucleotide ribosomal RNA is filed under the name uncultured bacterium. RNAcentral describes it as "partial 16S ribosomal RNA". It matches the Rfam family "Bacterial small subunit ribosomal RNA", at positions 28 to 507 of the family's 1533-position model. The record is from RNAcentral.